RNAcentral lists this transfer RNA (71 nucleotides) under Heteronitis castelnaui. RNAcentral's name for it is "tRNA-Asp". The record is from RNAcentral. Lineage: Eukaryota; Metazoa; Arthropoda; Insecta; Coleoptera; Scarabaeidae.
AAAAAUUUAGUUAAUCCCUAUAACAUUAGCUUGUCAAGUUAAAAUAACUCAAAAUAAAUGAGUAAUUUUUG